Molecule: small RNA, 289 nt
Filed under: Limnohabitans sp. 63ED37-2
Lineage: Bacteria; Pseudomonadati; Pseudomonadota; Betaproteobacteria; Burkholderiales; Comamonadaceae
Description: 5' ureB small RNA
Rfam family: 5' ureB small RNA
Source: Rfam by way of RNAcentral
CUUCGUCGAUUUGCUGGGGGCAGAUGAAAUGGAUGUGGCAGUCGAUACCUCCGGCCGUCACGAUCAAACCUUCGCAGCUGAUGAUCUCGGUGCCGGGGCCGAUGACGAUGUCUACGCCCGGCUGUGUGUCGGGGUUGCCCGCUUUGCCUAUGGCGGCGAUGCGGUUGCCGCGCAAACCAAUGUCGGCUUUGACGAUCCCCCAGUGGUCGAUGAUGAGCGCGUUGGUGAGCACGCAGUCCAUCGCGCCUUCGGCAUUGGUGCGCUGCGAUUGCGCCAUGCCAUCGCGAAU